UUGUCAUCUUGAUUGCGACAAUUUGAUAUCUCACAUGGAGGUUAAUCAAACUUUAUCAGUUUUCCACAACACUGUCUACUUUGAUGUCCAUGAAUUUCGCUGUCAAGAAAUACGUUUGCUUCCAGCGGGCAUUAAGUUUUCCCAAGUGUGUCAAAUCCAAGAAAAGUCUUUUUUCAAUGUCACCAUUCCACCAAUUGAUAUAAAAAAAGCCUAUUUUGACAGUAAAACUGGAGACAAUUUGUCAACCCUGAUCACAGAAACUGUUCCUGAAUCUGGGAUUCGAAUAUGUGAAAUAUUAAAACUUAAUCGAUCUGCUAAUUCAGUUGAACUAAGAGGAUCGAUUCGUGUUCUUGUUCAAUUUAACGGACAAGGUGAAGAAAUUUACAAAAUAUUGGAAGAAUAUUUUGCCGUCUUUAGCCAAGUGAAUUGGAAACUUGAGAGAGCCCUAUCGCGAAGUGUCCAUAAAUACCUUGAUUUCUUGAACAAUCAUUCUCAACAAUCAUCAACACGAAAAACGAAUGUUUCAAGUACAAAUUACGACAAUUCAGUUUUUAACAUGGAGUCUAAUCAAACUUUAUCAGUUCACAACAACUUUGUCUACUUUGGUGUUCAUAAAUUCACCUGUAAAGAGAUUCAUUUAAUCUCAAAAGGUAUUAAGUUUGUUCAAGUAUCUGCACCAGAAAGACCGAGUUUGGCUAUUACCAUUUCUCCAAUUGAUAUUCAAAAACUCUAUUUUGAUAGGAAAACUGGUGAAAAUUUGUCAACCCUGAUCAUAGAAACCGUUCCAAGUUCGAGUUUCAAAAUAUGCGAAGCAUUGAAAAUACAACGGAAUCAAAGUGAUCACAUGGAAGGAACCAUUCGUGUGGCAGUGCAAUUGAACGGAAAGAAUGAAGAAAUUCGAAAUAUAUUGGAAGAGUAUUUCGCCAUCUUUAAUACUGUCACUUGGAAACUUGAUAGAAAUCUAUCUGUUAGUGCUCAUCAAUACUUCGAUUUAUUAAAUAACUCUUCUCAACAACCGACAGCAAAAUCUUCAACGUCUUCAUCCACUUUUAAAUCACCUUUUCCUCCUAAAUUGGCUAAGAGUAAAAAGAAGACCUCGAAUUCGAAAAUAGAUGAAACGACCUCCAUUGUUGUGAUGAACAGUGAAGAUGAAAUUGGAAACUCAAAUGCCGCAGUAUCAAAUUGUGACGAUCGUCUCUUUAGUUAUCCACCUAUUCCCAUUUACGAAGUUGAACAUAUCUCAAUUCGUCAGUCGGAUCUCGCUUGUUUGGAGGAAGGGCAACAAAUAAAUGAUGCAAUCCUGGGUUUCUAUCUUAAGUAUAUUGAAAAAGACUUGACAUCCCCAGAUAUCGCCGAAAGAUGCUACAUUUUCAGUUCAUCUUUUUACUACAAGCUCACCCAUAAACCUCGAUCAUCGGAGGUUGGAACGCAGGGCAAAAAAUCGCUUUCUGAUAGAUACUACAAUAGAGUAAAGAAUUGGACAAAAAAUGUGAACAUUUUCGAAAAGGACUUUCUAAUUAUACCAAUUCAUAAAUCCUGUCAUUGGUUUCUGGCAAUCAUUUGUUAUCCAAGAAAAGUUCUCUCCUGGACGAAGUUGCAUUCAAUGAGAAAAGUGCUAAAAGGCCUCGUAUACUUUUCAUGGACUCGACGCAAAGUGCUCAUAGUAGAUGUGGAUUAGCUGCACCAUUACGACACUUUCUAGCUAAGGAAUGGGAGUCAAAGAAAACGACAAAGAAAAGUUUUAGUAGAAGUGUAAUGCCUGAUAUUUAUCUCAAGGUGCCUAAGCAAAACAAUGACUUCGACUCAGGUCUCUAUGUACUACAAUGCAUUGAGAAUUUCCUAAGAAAUCCUGAUCAUUUACUUGACAAAGUUUCCAAAGACCCGGCUAUUAAUCUAGAGGAUUGGUUCUCUCACAGACUGGUUUCGGCUAAACGACGAACUAUUGAAAGAUUGAUUAAACAACAGCGAAAAGCUGAAGAAAUCAAGAAAAAUAGUCUUUGCGAAACGGAUGAUGAAAUUUCUUCUUCUUCUUCUUCUUCUUCUUCUUCUUCUAGCUCUUAUUCUUCUGCUGAUUCCGAAAUUUGAAAGAAUCCACAAAGAUCCUGCUAUUAAUCUAUAAGAUUGGUUUUCUCUUUCUCUGGUCUCUUCUAAACGACGAACAAUCAAAAAUUUGAUCGAACGAAAGUGUAAAUAAUUAGACUAAGGUAUUAAAUGAUAAUCGACAUUUAAUUGUAAAUAAGACCAGAAAAUGAUAUACAUAAACAACUAUGCUGUGAAUUAAUCAUGAACCGAAAGGAUUUUCAAGAGAGAAGAAAAUCAAAUUUUCAAAAAUCCAUUUGUUGUUCUAUUAAAGUUGUUAUU
Panonychus citri (citrus red mite) is the source of this 2361-nucleotide RNA transcript. It is a transcript of the gene named sentrin-specific protease 6-like, with no coding region annotated. Lineage: Eukaryota; Metazoa; Arthropoda; Arachnida; Trombidiformes; Tetranychidae. The record is from RefSeq and is a predicted model, not a curated record. The transcript has 8 exons.